UACGGGAGGCAGCAGUGAGGAAUAUUGGUCAAUGGGCGAGAGCCUGAACCAGCCAAGUCGCGUGAAGGAAGAAGGAUCUAUGGUUCGUAAACUUCUUUUGCAGGGGAAUAAAGUGCGGGACGUGUCCUGUUUUGUAUUAUCCUAGAAUAGAUAGUCGCCUCCCC
This 164-nucleotide ribosomal RNA is filed under the name uncultured Bacteroidota bacterium. RNAcentral describes it as "uncultured Bacteroidetes bacterium partial 16S ribosomal RNA". It matches the Rfam family "Bacterial small subunit ribosomal RNA", at positions 340 to 502 of the family's 1533-position model. The record is from RNAcentral. Lineage: Bacteria; Pseudomonadati; Bacteroidota.